UGGGCCUGGACUCGGGGGAAACGGGGAAAAAGGGACGUUAAUACGGAUAACAUCCUACGGCAGAAAGGAGGGGACCUUCGGGCCUUGCUCUAUUUAAUGAGGCUAGGGGGGGCCCCUAGAUGUAUUUGGUUGGCUCAGCAAGGCGACGAUCCGUAACUGGUCUGAUGAAUGAUCAAAAAAACUGGAGUGAGACACGGUGAGACUCCUACCUGAGGAAGCAAGGGGAAAUAUUGGACAAGGGUGGAAAGCCUGAUGAAAAAUGAACCGUGUGGCGGAAGGAAGGAGGAUUGGGUUUUACUUUGUUUUAUGAUGAAGGGCAGUAACAAAAUCGUUGCUGUAACGGAUUGAGGGUAGAAUAAGAACCGGCUAGUCUG
RNAcentral lists this ribosomal RNA (374 nucleotides) under uncultured bacterium. Its description in RNAcentral is "partial 16S ribosomal RNA". The record is from RNAcentral.